Molecule: transfer RNA, 77 nt
Filed under: Escherichia coli
Lineage: Bacteria; Pseudomonadati; Pseudomonadota; Gammaproteobacteria; Enterobacterales; Enterobacteriaceae
Also listed under: 11 other names
Description: tRNA-Met
Rfam family: tRNA
About the family: Transfer RNA (tRNA) molecules are approximately 80 nucleotides in length. Their secondary structure includes four short double-helical elements and three loops (D, anti-codon, and T loops). Further hydrogen bonds mediate the characteristic L-shaped molecular structure. tRNAs have two regions of fundamental functional importance: the anti-codon, which is responsible for specific mRNA codon recognition, and the 3' end, to which the tRNAs corresponding amino acid is attached (by aminoacyl-tRNA synthetases). tRNAs cope with the degeneracy of the genetic code in two manners: having more than one tRNA (with a specific anti-codon) for a particular amino acid; and 'wobble' base-pairing, i.e. permitting non-standard base-pairing at the 3rd anti-codon position.
Source: RNAcentral
CGCGGGGUGGAGCAGCUUGGUAGCUCGUCGGGCUCAUAACCCGAAGGUCGUCGGUUCAAAUCCGGUCCCCGCAACCA